UUAACCAGGCUGGCCUUGAACUUGCAAUCAUCCUGCUUCAGCCUCCUAAGUUGCUGGGAUCAUAGAUGUGAAGCACCAUGCCUGGCACAGAACUGGGAGCGCCCAGGAGAGCUGGAAGCUUUGUUGGAAUGGCCCGCGGUGCUCCAUCAACAAUGGACGGUGCUCAAACACGAGUCGAGCCACAGCUGGGAAGGAGUUUCCCCAACGCGACGACAGCUCCAAAGCAAUCAAUAGUGAAUCAGUUGCAACGGUGGGGUCCUGACUGACCUAAGUAGAAGUCCUUCAAGGAAGGAAGGGGCGAUCUGGUGUAGGCAAGACUCCCGACAGCACGGGGAAGGAAAACUGCGGAGUUCUACGUUCAGCUCAUCGGUGUCCCUGACAUCUCCCUCCCUGCCCUGAUCUCCCGUCAGCUUCUUGGACUCUGGAGCCACCCGUGUUACGCAGCCUCAUGGCGAACUUGCUCUGGAUUCUGCAGAAUACCUAGGUCCCUAGGACAGAGAUGGCAUGACUAGCUACACGAUUCAGUCCUCUUUGGGGGUGGGGUUCUG
Molecule: long non-coding RNA, 548 nt
Organism: Fukomys damarensis (Damara mole-rat)
Lineage: Eukaryota; Metazoa; Chordata; Mammalia; Rodentia; Bathyergidae
Exons: 3
Source: RefSeq, a predicted model, not a curated record